RNAcentral lists this ribosomal RNA (443 nucleotides) under uncultured bacterium. Its description in RNAcentral is "bacterial SSU rRNA". It matches the Rfam family "Bacterial small subunit ribosomal RNA", at positions 958 to 1398 of the family's 1533-position model. The record is from RNAcentral.
AACGCGAAGAACCUUACCUGGGCUCGAAGCGCAGUGGAAUCCGGUGGAAACAUCGGCGCCCCUUAAAAGGACUGCUGCGGAGGUGCUGCAUGGCUGUCGUCAGCUCGUGUCGUGAGAUGUUGGGUUAAGUCCCGCAACGAGCGCAACCCUUAUCGUUAGUUGCCAGCGGGUUAUGCCGGGCACUCUAGCGAAACCGCCCCGGAUAACGGGGAGGAAGGUGGGGAUGACGUCAAGUCCUCAUGGCCUUUAUGUCCAGGGCUACACACGUGCUACAAUGGCCGGUACAAAGCGCUGCUAAGUCGCAAGACGGAGCCAAUCGCAGAAAACCGGUCUCAGUUCGGAUUGCAGGCUGCAACUCGCCUGCAUGAAGCUGGAAUCGCUAGUAAUGGCGGAUCAGAACGCCGCCGUGAAUACGUUCCCGGGCCUUGUACACACCGGAGUGC